This 484-nucleotide ribosomal RNA is filed under the name uncultured bacterium. RNAcentral describes it as "partial 16S ribosomal RNA". It matches the Rfam family "Bacterial small subunit ribosomal RNA", at positions 30 to 507 of the family's 1533-position model. The record is from RNAcentral.
AUUGAACGCUGGCGGCAGGCCUAACACAUGCCAGUCGAGCGGAUGAAGGGAGCUUGCUCCUGGAUUCAGCGGCGGACGGGUGAGUAAUGCCUAGGAAUCUGCCUGGUAGUGGGGGAUAACGUCCGGAAACGGGCGCUAAUACCGCAUACGUCCUGAGGGAGAAAGUGGGGGAUCUUCGGACCUCACGCUAUCAGAUGAGCCUAGGUCGGAUUAGCUAGUUGGUGGGGUAAAGGCCUGCCAAGGCGACGAUCCGUAACUGGUCUGAGAGGAUGAUCAGUCACACUGGAACUGAGACACGGUCCAGACUCCUACGGGAGGCAGCAGUGGGGAAUAUUGGACAAUGGGCGAAAGCCUGAUCCAGCCAUGCCGCGUGUGUGAAGAAGGUCUUCGGAUUGUAAAGCACUUUAAGUUGGGAGGAAGGGCAGUAAGUUAAUACCUUGCUGUUUUGACGUUACCAACAGAAUAAGCACCGGCUAACUUCGUG